GCCGAGGUGGCGGAAUUGGUAGACGCGCAUGGUUCAGGUCCAUGUGGGAGAAAUCCCGUGGAGGUUCAAGUCCUCUUCUCGGCA
Molecule: transfer RNA, 84 nt
Filed under: Thiohalocapsa sp. PB-PSB1
Lineage: Bacteria; Pseudomonadati; Pseudomonadota; Gammaproteobacteria; Chromatiales; Chromatiaceae
Description: uncultured Thiohalocapsa sp. PB-PSB1 tRNA
Rfam family: tRNA
About the family: Transfer RNA (tRNA) molecules are approximately 80 nucleotides in length. Their secondary structure includes four short double-helical elements and three loops (D, anti-codon, and T loops).
Source: Rfam by way of RNAcentral